GAGUUUGAUCAUGGCUCAGAUUGAACGCUGGCGGCAUGCCUUACACAUGCAAGUCGAACGGCAGCAUGAUCUAGCUUGCUAGAUUGAUGGCGAGUGGCGAACGGGUGAGUAAUACAUCGGAACGUGCCCUGUAGUGGGGGAUAACUAGUCGAAAGAUUAGCUAAUACCGCAUACGACCUGAGGGUGAAAGUGGGGGACCGCAAGGCCUCAUGCUAUAGGAGCGGCCGAUGUCUGAUUAGCUAGUUGGUGGGGUAAAGGCCCACCAAGGCGACGAUCAGUAGCUGGUCUGAGGGGACGAUCAGCCACACUGGGACUGAGACACGGCCCAGACUCCUACGGGAGGCAGCAGUGGGGAAUUUUGGACAAUGGGCGAAAGCCUGAUCCAGCAAUGCCGCGUGUGUGAAGAAGGCCU
This 412-nucleotide ribosomal RNA is filed under the name uncultured microorganism. Its description in RNAcentral is "bacterial SSU rRNA". It matches the Rfam family "Bacterial small subunit ribosomal RNA", at positions 9 to 417 of the family's 1533-position model. The record is from RNAcentral.